GAUGAACGCUGGCGGCGUGCCUAAUACAUGCAAGUCGAGCGAAAGGACGAUAAGCUUGCUUCUUUGAUGUUAGCGGCGGACGGGUGAGUAACACGUGGAUAACCUACUUAUAUGUCUGAGAUAAUUUCGGGAAACCGGAGACAAUACCGGAUGAUAUUUUGAACCGCUGGGAUCAUAAGAGAUUGUCGGCUUUGCUGUUUCUAUGAGCUGUUUCCGCGCUGCAUUGGCUAGUUGGUAAGGUAACGGCCUACCAAGGCUACGAUGCAUAGCCGACCUGAGAGGAUGAUCGGCCACACUGGAACUGAGACACGGUCCAGACUCCUACGGGAGGCAGCAGUGGGGAAUAUUCCGCAAUGGGCGAAAGCCUGACCGAGCCACGCCGCGUGAGUGAAGAAGGCCUUCGGAUCGUAAAGCUCUGUUAUUGGGGAAGAACAGCUGUAUAAGAAACUGUGGCCAUCUUGACGGUACCGAAUCAAAAAGCAACGGCUAACUACGUG
RNAcentral lists this ribosomal RNA (497 nucleotides) under uncultured bacterium. RNAcentral describes it as "partial 16S ribosomal RNA". It matches the Rfam family "Bacterial small subunit ribosomal RNA", at positions 28 to 507 of the family's 1533-position model. The record is from RNAcentral.